UCGAGGGGCAACAUGGUAUCAGCUUGCUGAUACCGAUGGCGACCGGCGCACGGGUGAGUAACGCGUAUGUAAUCUGCCUAUCAGAGGGGGAUAACCUUUCGAAAGAAAGAUUAAUACCCGAUGGCAUAGUUCUUCCGCAUGGUAGAACUAUUAAAGAAUUUCGGUCAUCGAUGGGGAUGCGUUCCAUUAGGUUGUUGGCGGGGUAACGGCCCACCAAGCCUUCGAUGGAUAGGGGUUCUGAGAGGAAGGUCCCCACAUUGGAACUGAGACACGGUCCAAACUCC
Molecule: ribosomal RNA, 284 nt
Filed under: uncultured Bacteroides sp.
Lineage: Bacteria; Pseudomonadati; Bacteroidota; Bacteroidia; Bacteroidales; Bacteroidaceae
Description: partial 16S ribosomal RNA
Rfam family: Bacterial small subunit ribosomal RNA
Source: RNAcentral